Molecule: ribosomal RNA, 333 nt
Filed under: Scutellospora sp. S37
Lineage: Eukaryota; Fungi; Glomeromycota; Glomeromycetes; Diversisporales; Gigasporaceae
Description: LSU rRNA
Source: RNAcentral
UUGAAAGGGAAACGAUUGAUAGUCAGUCAUGCCGGCGGGAAUCAAUUUUGAGGAAGGGGGAUUUUUUGAACCUAACCUUGAAAUGCACUUCUUCGCUUGGCAGGUUAGCGUCGAUUUUGAACGUUAUAAAAUGAUUGGGGGAAGGUAGCUCUUUCGGGAGUGUUAUAGCCCUUAAUUAAUGUGAUGUUUGGGAUCGAGGAUUGCAACGGAUACCUUUUAGGCUAGCCGCCUGGUCUCUGAUUCGAUGUCGGGUUAUAGACAGCACGCUGACUAUGAUUUGAUUAUUGGUCAAAAGGUUAGAGCGAGCAUAAAUUCGUUAAGGAUGUUGACGUA